AGUGAACGACCUAUCCUACGUAGGGAACUGACGCGGUGGUUGUGAGAAAUUCACAUUUAACAUGUAUUCAAAAUUGGCAAAUAAGAUCAAGCUCAAUAAUCCAUUCUUUUAUUUUCGUAAAGUUCCCUUCCGCAAUUCAUGUAUGUCAAAUAAAAAAAUGCAAUUUAUCUACCAAUAAAAUAUUAAAAGUUAUUACUACCAAGAUAAUUAAUUUGUCUUAUGUCAAAAAAAGAUAAUUAAUUUGUCCUCAUCACUUUUAAUAAAAUUUUACAUGUUUACUAAAACAAAAAGACAAUUUUGACCAUUAAAAUAGAAAUUUUAUUAGGUAUAGAAAUAUUUAACCUAAUUUAAUAAAUUAGCACACAAGGAAAAAAAAAGAUAAUUUUUUUGUCAAAAUAACUCGACUAAACCGAGUUGGGAUCACAACUAAUAAACCUAGAUUUAGUCUUUUUGUUUCACUAAACAAGCAAAACAUUAUCCUUAUUUGUAUUAAGGACCAAAUGACAUACAUGACCUUUUCCUGUGACUCCAAGUUCUUAUUUUCAUUCCUCGAGUCUAUAAUACCUUCAAUCUCUUUCAAUCUUCUAUGAAACUUUUCAAAGGCUGCUUUUAUCAAUGAAGAUGGUAGAUUCUGGAUACAUUUACACUACUAGAAAACUCGCCUUUAGCGACCGAUUUAGAGACCGAUUUUGAUGAAAAUCGGUCUCUAAAUCUGUUAGCGACCGAUUUUGCGACCAUUUAAAAUCGGCAUCAACGACCCUGGUCGCUACUUCCUGCAAUAGUGAAGUUCAUUUAUAACUGUUUUUGUUAUUGCAAAUCACAGCGAUAAAACAGGUCCAAAAGGAACAUAUUUAACCACCACACCAGCCUUCAUUUCAAAGUAACACCUAUAACACAAUUUUUAGACGAUGUGUCGUGUACACUCGGACACACCUUCAACAUGCAGUGUCAGUGAACAACUUGGUUUGGAUGAUGUUGUGGAGAGAGUAGCUGAACAACUUGGAAAAUCUAGAAGGAAAUUAUUUACAAUAACAAUAAGCCAAAUAGCCAACUCACCCCUUCCCUACAGCUAAUAAUUAUGCAAAUCAUUAAGUCUGUGUAUAAUGUGCAUCAUCAGACAUACAAACAACACACAGAAAACGGAAAUAAACAACUCAAAAUUUACCUCAUUGUUUUCUUUGAAAUUGAAACAGAACAAUGCCCUAUAUGAGAACACAAUAUUAUCGAAACCGAACACAUAUGGUUACAUUCUAUCACUCCAUUUUGUUAAAUUAUUAUUCAUGAAAUGUGUGCUUCAUAGAUUUUAUGCAACAAACUGAAACUACUGAAAGCUAAGAGGCAUGCAUUAAAAUAACUAUAAGUAAAUAAAUAAAUCACUUGUGAAAUGUGUUCUGCAGCUGCAACCCUAGCACUAAGGUCUAAGGGAAACCUAAAAUUAACGAUGAAAUCAAAAAUGAAAGCCCUAACACUUGAAGGUGAAUAAGUUACCUGAAGUACAUCAAAACAAGAAGGUUGUGUAGUCCAAUCUUGUUGAGUGACGGUGCUUAAGGGAACUCAUAAAAAUCCAAAUCUGAACAUAUUAACAAUGUAAACCUUUUUUUUAAGAACAUAAGCAGGGCAGCAACAAAACAUAAUCAACUUUCAAGCUUAAAGAAAAUAGUCUCUGACAUAAGUCCAUAAUCUAGAACCUAUCAUCUACUUUACUCAUGCUUCAAUUUAAUUAAAACAACUUCAACAUUCAGCAAGGACAAAUCAGGUAAAGGUUACACAGUAUAACUGUGCAAAGAUAGCAAUUAAAACCAGACCAAUUCUCACCACAUUGAUAUUUCCUUAAAAAAAAAUUAAAUCCAGACCAUUCUAAAUUCUAUAAAAAUUAAGUUAAUAGUACCAAUUAAAACCUCUAACUUGCAGCCAAUGUAAUUAGAACAAAGUGAAUGCCUCUAGAUUCCUAGGUCAUUCAAAAAUUAAAAUGCAUUCAUUGGAAGAAACAUCAACCUUGUUCUUGUUUUAGAGAAAGAAUUUCACAACUUUGGAAGAAAACCACAUGAAACAUGUAAAUCAACAUAUAACCCGAAGAACUAAAAUAGGGUUCGCAGAGAACCUAGAUUGGAUUCACAUAUGUGAAAAGGAACAUAUAGGAGAAUCGGACAACUAAAUUAGGGUUCACGGAUUAGAGAAAGGGGAAUUAGAACUGAGAAUCUAAAAACGUAACGAUUGAACUAUUGAAGAGAAAGGGGUUAGGGUUCAAAUUUUUGAAGGAAAUAUUUGGUAGAGGAAUAC
Molecule: long non-coding RNA, 2280 nt
Filed under: Trifolium pratense (red clover)
Lineage: Eukaryota; Viridiplantae; Streptophyta; Magnoliopsida; Fabales; Fabaceae
Description: long non-coding RNA (TPRA_LNC013501)
Source: RNAcentral